RNAcentral lists this ribosomal RNA (513 nucleotides) under bacterium 4c12710. RNAcentral describes it as "bacterial SSU rRNA". It matches the Rfam family "Bacterial small subunit ribosomal RNA", at positions 314 to 845 of the family's 1533-position model. RNAcentral also lists the same sequence under 3 other names. The record is from RNAcentral.
UGGGACUGAGACACGGCCCAGACUCCUACGGGAGGCAGCAGUGGGGAAUAUUGCGCAAUGGGCGGAAGCCUGACGCAGCGACGCCGCGUGGGGGAUGACGGCCUUCGGGUUGUAAACCUCUUUCGCCAGGGACGAAGAGUGAUUGACGGUACCUGGAGAAGAAGCACCGGCCAACUACGUGCCAGCAGCCGCGGUAACACGUAGGGUGCGAGCGUUGUCCGGAAUUAUUGGGCGUAAAGAGCUCGUAGGCGGUGUGUCGCGUCGGCCGUGAAAACUUGGGGCUUAACUCUGAGCGUGCGGUCGAUACGGGCAUCACUUGAGUUCGGCAGGGGAGACUGGAAUUCCUGGUGUAGCGGUGAAAUGCGCAGAUAUCAGGAGGAACACCGGUGGYGAAGGYGGGUCUCUGGGCCGAUACUGACGCUGAGGAGCGAAAGCGUGGGGAGCGAACAGGAUUAGAUACCCUGGUAGUCCACGCCGUAAACGUUGGGCGCUAGGUGUGGGGACCAUUCCACG